CUCAGGAUGAACGCUGGCGGCGUGCUUAACACAUGCAAGUCGAACGAUGAUGCCAGCUUGCUGGUGGAUUAGUGGCGAACGGGUGAGUAACACGUGAGUAACCUGCCCUUGACUCUGGGAUAAGCCUGGGAAACUGGGUCUAAUACCGGAUAUGACCUUCCAUCGCAUGGUGGUUGGUGGAAAGCUUUUGUGGUUUUGGAUGGACUCGCGGCCUAUCAGCUUGUUGGUGGGGUAAUGGCCUACCAAGGCGACGACGGGUAGCCGGCCUGAGAGGGUGACCGGCCACACUGGGACUGAGACACGGCCCAGACUCCUACGGGAGGCAGCAGUGGGGAAUAUUGCACAAUGGGCGCAAGCCUGAUGCAGCGACGCCGCGUGAGGGAUGACGGCCUUCGGGUUGUAAACCUCUUUCAGUAGGGAAGAAGCGUAAGUGACGGUACCUGCAGAAGAAGCGCCGGCUAACUACGUGCCAGCAGCCGCGGUAAUACGUAGGGCGCAAGCGUUAUCCGGAAUUAUUGGGCGUAAAGAGCUCGUAGGCGGUUUGUCGCGUCUGCCGUGAAAGUCCGGGGCUCAACUCCGGAUCUGCGGUGGGUACGGGCAGACUAGAGUGAUGUAGGGGAGACUGGAAUUCCUGGUGUAGCGGUGAAAUGCGCAGAUAUC
Molecule: ribosomal RNA, 660 nt
Filed under: Arthrobacter sp. TN153A
Lineage: Bacteria; Bacillati; Actinomycetota; Actinomycetes; Micrococcales; Micrococcaceae
Description: bacterial SSU rRNA
Rfam family: Bacterial small subunit ribosomal RNA
Source: RNAcentral